RNAcentral lists this ribosomal RNA (460 nucleotides) under uncultured bacterium. RNAcentral describes it as "partial 16S ribosomal RNA". It matches the Rfam family "Bacterial small subunit ribosomal RNA", at positions 28 to 507 of the family's 1533-position model. The record is from RNAcentral.
GACGAACGCUGGCGGCGUGCUUAACACAUGCAAGUCGAGCGGUAAGGCCUCUUCGGGGGUACACGAGCGGCGAACGGGUGAGUAACACGUGGGUGACCUGCCCUCAGCUCUGGGAUAAGCCUGGGAAACUGGGUCUAAUACCGGAUAUGACCUUUCCUCGCAUGGGGGUUGGUGGAAAGUUUUUUCGGCUGGGGAUGGGCCCGCGGCCUAUCAGCUUGUUGGUGGGGUGAUGGCCUACCAAGGCGACGACGGGUAGCCGGCCUGGGAGGGCGACCGGCCACGCUGGGACUGAGACACGGCCCAGACUCCUACGGGAGGCAGCAGUGGGGAAUAUUGCGCAAUGGGCGGAAGCCUGACGCAGCGACGCCGCGUGGGGGAUGACGGCCUUCGGGUUGUAAACCUCUUUCGACCCCGACGAAUUUGGACGGUAGGGGUAGAAGAAGCACCGGCCAACUACGUG